CUAACAUAUGGUAUAUUAUAAGAGUUGGAGUCAUGUUAAGACAAAUGAGAAGAGCUGGAAAAAUUCAGAAAUACACCAAGGUGGAAUGGAACCACAUUAAUCAAACCAAAUGGGUCUAACAAGUCUAAAUUAAUAUAUCCAUACCUUCCCCACAUAUACCCUCACAUUAUACAUAAGUUUCAUCACCAAAUACCAACAAAACAUUUCUGCCCAAAACCUCUCUCUCUCCCUCUUCCAUCACGCCAGCUCUGGCGGUAAGAACCAGAGUUGGUUCUCAGCUUCAUUUCUUGGAUUUUUGCUUCUGAACCUAUGCAUGCAAAGCCUGAUAUCAUUCACUACAUAUAGUAGCAUAUUGGGAAGCAAAAAUAUCACCAUUUCGCGGCCAAGAAGUUCAAGAAAAAGAACCAUCUUCUUCAAUCAAGGAAACAGAUCAAAAAGAAUCAAGAAUCAAGUCUUGAGGAGAAGGAGAAGUCGGAUUAUUGCUGUUAGAAGUGAAGAUUUUUGUGCAGGAACUAGCAAACUAAGGUAAACUGAGGAAAGAGCGAAUAUGAAGUCGUGUCCCUACUAUCCUAGCAGAUGCAAGCUUGAACAUGAUCACCUUUUGAGAUUUACUUCUGUUAUGAAUACUGUUUAAACUUAUGAUUAAAAUCUUAUUUUGGGUUUGUAAUAACUAAAUUAAUUUUCAUGUGUGAUGAAUGUUUGAUUUAAGUGUAGCUCGUAGAGUCAAUCCAGCCAUAUUAAUGGGUUGACUCCAGCAGGUG
Long non-coding RNA from Beta vulgaris subsp. vulgaris (sugar beet), 761 nucleotides. RefSeq lists it as uncharacterized. The transcript has 3 exons. The record is from RefSeq and is a predicted model, not a curated record. Lineage: Eukaryota; Viridiplantae; Streptophyta; Magnoliopsida; Caryophyllales; Amaranthaceae.